AUGAGGAGCUUCUCGUCUGCUCCAACUCCUACUCUCGGUUGUUACUCCGGUUUAGGUCAUGAAAGGUACUUGGCAAUGAGUAUAAAGGGCCGAAUUGGGUGAGCUUCCUAUGCCACUUUUCAACGGUUCAAGCAGCUGGUUGUAAAUGUGGAAUAGUAGGAUAAGUUGACGUACAAGGUAGUCCUUUUUGGAGUAGACAUGCAGAAAUUGAAGAGCUGCUGGAAGUCCAUACUAUGAUGAAGGAAUGAGAUGCAAUAAAUCUACCACUAAUAAAUUUGGAAAGUAACAGCCUUUAAAACUUUUGCCUAACAUGCACCCCAACAGUUUCAAAAAACAGGAGACAUGACUCAGGAAUUAACUCCAAUGCAACGUUAACCAUUUGAAACUUCUAGGACCUUGAUUCUUCUUGGCUUGGAGGAGGACGUGUUACAAUUUUGUUCCAAUUAUUUCAUUUGUGUAAUGGUAUAUGUAUCAUGGUGGAGUUUUCUACUAUUACCAUACUUUUAUUCAUCAAUCCCAUUGAUUUGUGCUACUUAAAGAACAAUCAGUCUUUAGUUUUUUGGAGUAUAACACUUGAGUCUAUCCACCUUGGAGCAGUUUCUC
Non-coding RNA from Lupinus albus (white lupine), 603 nucleotides. The record is from the annotation of a GenBank genome assembly. Lineage: Eukaryota; Viridiplantae; Streptophyta; Magnoliopsida; Fabales; Fabaceae.